AGAGCGAACGCUGGCGGCAGGCUUAACACAUGCAAGUCGAGCGGGCGUAGCAAUACGUCAGCGGCAGACGGGUGAGUAACGCGUGGGAACAUACCUUUUGGUUCGGAACAACACAGGGAAACUUGUGCUAAUACCGAAUAAGCCCUUACGGGGAAAGAUUUAUCGCCGAAAGAUUGGCCCGCGUCUGAUUAGCUUGUUGGUGAGGUAACGGCUCACCAAGGCGACGAUCAGUAGCUGGUCUGAGAGGAUGAUCAGCCACAUUGGGACUGAGACACGGCCCAAAACUCCUACGGGAGGCAGCAGUGGGGAAUAUUGGACAAUGGGCGCAAGCCUGAUCCAGCCAUGCCGCGUGAGUGAUGAAGGCCCUAGGGUUGUAAAGCUCUUUUGUGCGGGAAGAUAAUGGACGGUACCGCGAAGAAUAAGCCCCGGCUAACUUCGUGCCAGCAGCCGC
RNAcentral lists this ribosomal RNA (451 nucleotides) under uncultured bacterium. RNAcentral's name for it is "SSU rRNA". It matches the Rfam family "Bacterial small subunit ribosomal RNA", at positions 26 to 518 of the family's 1533-position model. The record is from RNAcentral.